RNAcentral lists this ribosomal RNA (235 nucleotides) under uncultured bacterium. RNAcentral describes it as "partial 16S ribosomal RNA". It matches the Rfam family "Bacterial small subunit ribosomal RNA", at positions 96 to 334 of the family's 1533-position model. The record is from RNAcentral.
UGGCGGACGGGUGAGUAAUGUCUGGGAAACUGCCUGAUGGAGGGGGAUAACUACUGGAAACGGUAGCUAAUACCGCAUAACGUCGCAAGACCAAAGAGGGGGACCUUCGGGCCUCUUGCCAUCGGAUGUGCCCAGAUGGGAUUAGCUAGUAGGCGGGGUAACGGCUCACCUAGGCGACGAUCCCUAGCUGGUCUGAGAGGAUGACCAGCCACACUGGAACUGAGACACGGUCCAG